GCCAUCUUAGCUCAGCUAGGUAGAGCACAUCCAUGGUAAGGAUGAGGUCGUCGGUUCGAACCCGAUAGAUGGCU
The sequence is a transfer RNA, 74 nucleotides long. It matches the Rfam family "tRNA". From Rfam's summary of the family: Transfer RNA (tRNA) molecules are approximately 80 nucleotides in length. Their secondary structure includes four short double-helical elements and three loops (D, anti-codon, and T loops). The record is from Rfam.